GGAAUUUUCCGCAAUGGGCGAAAGCCUGACGGAGCAACGCCGCGUGAGGGAUGAAGGCCUCUGGGCUGUAAACCUCUUUUAUCAAGGAAGAAGAUCUGACGGUACUUGAUGAAUAAGCCACGGCUAAUUCCGUGCCAGCAGCCGCGGUAAUACGGGAGUGGCAAGCGUUAUCCGGAAUUAUUGGGCGUAAAGCGUCCGCAGGCGGCCCUUCAAGUCUGCUGUUAAAAAGUGGAGCUUAACUCCAUCAUGGCAGUGGAAACUGUUGGGCUUGAGUGUGGUAGGGGCAGAGGGAAUUCCCGGUGUAGCGGUGAAAUGCGUAGAUAUCGGGAAGAACACCAGUGGCGAAGGCGCUCUGCUGGGCCAUCACUGACGCUCAUGGACGAAAGCCAGGGGAGCGAAAGGGAUUAGAUACCCCAGUAGUC
RNAcentral lists this ribosomal RNA (422 nucleotides) under uncultured cyanobacterium. RNAcentral describes it as "bacterial SSU rRNA". It matches the Rfam family "Bacterial small subunit ribosomal RNA", at positions 358 to 795 of the family's 1533-position model. RNAcentral also lists the same sequence under 2 other names. Lineage: Bacteria; Bacillati; Cyanobacteriota. The record is from RNAcentral.